RNAcentral lists this long non-coding RNA (1266 nucleotides) under Salmo salar (Atlantic salmon). Its description in RNAcentral is "lncRNA (ENSSSAG00000122011.1)". Lineage: Eukaryota; Metazoa; Chordata; Actinopteri; Salmoniformes; Salmonidae. The record is from RNAcentral.
GGAGGAGUAGGGGUGGACGCUAAGGGUGUUUGGUGGGGUGGAGGAUGGGGAGGGUUUGAGGGAGUAGGGGUAGAUGGUGAGUUCAGCUACAUGCUACUGUAGGUUACUCCCCCAUAUGGCUGAGUUCUGUUCAGCUACUUUAGGUUACUCUCCCAUACGGCUAAGUUCUGUUCAGCUGCUUUAGGUUACUCUCCCAUAUGGCUGAGUUGACUGUUCAGCUACUGUAGGUUACUCUCAUGCUACAGUAGGUUACUCUCCCAUGCUACAGUAGGUUACUCUCCCAUGCUACAGUAGGUUACUCUCUCCCAUGCUACUGUAGGUUACUCUCCCAUGCUACUGUAGGUUACUCUCUCAUGCUACUGUAGGUUACUCUCCCAUGCUACUGUAGGUUACUCUCCCAUGCUACAGUAGGUUACUCUCCCAUAUGACUGUAGGUUACUCUCCCAUGCUACUGUAGGUUACUCUCCCAAGCUACUGUGGGUUACUCUCCCAAGCUACUGUAGGUUACUCUCCCAUGCUACUGUAGGUUACUCCCCCAUAUGGCUGAGUUCUGUUCAGCUACUUUAGGUUACUCUCCCAUACGGCUAAGUUCUGUUCAGCUGCUUUAGGUUACUCUCCCAUAUGGCUGAGUUGACUGUUCAGCUACUGUAGGUUAUUCUCCCAUAUGGCUGAGUUGACUGUUCAGCUACUGUAGGUUAUUCUCCCAUAUGGCUGAGUUGACUGGUCAGCUACUGUAGGUUAUUCUCCAUAUGGCUGAGUUGACUGUUCAGCUACUGUAGGUUAUUCUCCAUAUGGCUGAGUUGACUUUUCAGCUACAUGCUACUGUAGGUUAUUCUCCCAUGCUACUGUAGGUUACUCUCCCAUGCUACUGUAGGUUACUCUCCCAUGCUACUGUAGGUUACUCUCCCAAGCUACUGUAGGUUACUCUCCCAUGCUACUGUAGGUUACUCUCCCAUGCUACUGUAGGUUACUCUCCCAUGCUACUGUAGGUUACUCUCCCAAGCUACUGUAGGUUACUCUCCCAAGCUACUGUAGGUUACUCUCCCAAGCUACUGUAGGUUACUCUCCCAUGCUACUGUAGGUUACUCUCCCAUGCUACUGUAGGAUAAUAUCUGGAUUGUUUCAUAAUAACUCUUGUCUGGUGUGGGAUGUGCAGUUCCGGAGUGCAGAGAAUAACUUGUACUGAUGUGGAUUGGAGCAAACAAACCAUCUACAUAGUGGUGAUGUGUACGUUUUAGAUUAUAUUAUUACUAUUAUUUUAUUAAG